UAUCAUUCAAGAUUAUGGUGAGCUACCUGA
This 30-nucleotide small RNA is filed under the name Bombyx mori (domestic silkworm). Its description in RNAcentral is "ovarian small RNA-23557". Lineage: Eukaryota; Metazoa; Arthropoda; Insecta; Lepidoptera; Bombycidae. The record is from RNAcentral.